Non-coding RNA from Pelobates cultripes (western spadefoot toad), 319 nucleotides. The record is from the annotation of a GenBank genome assembly. Lineage: Eukaryota; Metazoa; Chordata; Amphibia; Anura; Pelobatidae.
GUUUUUGGGUAAGGACUCCGGAAGCAUGCCCUGACUUUUCAGAGACAAACAGAUUGAAAGGCAACUGGUAGUUGGGAAGGCCCAAGGCAGGUGCUGAAACAAUAGCUCUCUUCAGACUGUGAAAACAAGCAAUAGCAUCUUCAGAGAGAGUAAAGGGCUCACUCCUGAGGGUGUCAUAGAGUGGCUGCAUUAGCUUUGAGGCUUCGGGUAUCCAUGAUCUGCAGUAUGUGAUGAGGCCUAGAAAGGCAUGAAGAGUCUGGUGAGCUGCAGGUAGUGGGAGUUGCAAGAUCGCUUGCACACGUUGUGAAGUCAAAUGUCU